AGUGUACGCUGGCGGUAGGCCUAACACAUGCGAGUCGAACGGCAGCACAGUAAGAGCUUGCUCUUACGGGUGGCGAGUGGCGGACGGGUGAGGAAUACAUCGGAAUCUACUUUUUCGUGGGGGAUAACGUAGGGAAACUUACGCUAAUACCGCAUACGACCUACGGGUGAAAGCAGGGGAUCUUCGGACCUUGCGCGAUUGAAUGAGCCGAUGUCGGAUUAGCUAGUUGGCGGGGUAAAGGCCCACCAAGGCGACGAUCCGUAGCUGGUCUGAGAGGAUGAUCAGCCACACUGGAACUGAGACACGGUCCAGACUCCUACGGGAGGGAGCAGUGGGGAAUAUUGGACAAUGGGCGCAAGCCUGAUCCAGCCAUACCGCGUGGGUGAAGAAGGCCUUCGGGUUGUAAAGCCCUUUUGUUGGGAAAGAAAAGCAGCAGGUUAAUACCCCGCUGUUCUGACGGUACCCAAAGAAUAAGCACCGGCUAACUUCGUG
RNAcentral lists this ribosomal RNA (492 nucleotides) under uncultured bacterium. Its description in RNAcentral is "partial 16S ribosomal RNA". It matches the Rfam family "Bacterial small subunit ribosomal RNA", at positions 29 to 507 of the family's 1533-position model. The record is from RNAcentral.